RNAcentral lists this ribosomal RNA (550 nucleotides) under uncultured Actinomycetes bacterium. Its description in RNAcentral is "bacterial SSU rRNA". It matches the Rfam family "Bacterial small subunit ribosomal RNA", at positions 900 to 1449 of the family's 1533-position model. The record is from RNAcentral. Lineage: Bacteria; Bacillati; Actinomycetota; Actinomycetes.
CUUAAAGGAAUUGACGGGGGCCCGCACAAGCAGCGGAGCAUGUUGCUUAAUUCGAGGCAACGCGAAGAACCUUGCCUGGGUUUGACAUGUAGAGAAAAGCCAUAGAGAUAUGGUGUCCUUCGGGGUUCUACACAGGUGGUGCAUGGUUGUCGUCAGCUCGUGUCGUGAGAUGUUGGGUUAAGUCCCGCAACGAGCGCAACCCUUGUCCUAUGUUGCCAGCACGUUAUGGUGGGGACUCGUAGGAGACUGCCGGGGUCAACUCGGAGGAAGGUGGGGACGACGUCAAAUCAUCAUGCCCCUUAUAUCCAGGGCUGCAAACAUGCUACAAUGGCCGGUACAAAGGGCUGCGAAACCGCGAGGUGGAGCGAAUCCCAGAAAGCCGGUCUCAGUUCGGAUUGGAGUCUGCAACUCGACUCCAUGAAGCUGGAGUUGCUAGCAAUCCCGGAUCAGCAACGCCGGGGUGAAUACGUUCCCGGGCCUUGUACACACCGCCCGUCACACCAUGAAAGUUGGAAACGCCCGAAGCCAGUGGCCGAACCCGCAAGGGACG